Molecule: ribosomal RNA, 1345 nt
Filed under: uncultured bacterium
Lineage: Bacteria
Description: partial 16S ribosomal RNA
Rfam family: Bacterial small subunit ribosomal RNA
Source: RNAcentral
GACGAACGCUGGCGGCGUGCUUGACACAUGCAAGUCGAACGGAAAGGCCCUGCUUUUGUGGGGUGCUCGAGUGGCGAACGGGUGAGUAACACGUGAGUAACCUGCCCUUGACUUUGGGAUAACUUCAGGAAACUGGGGCUAAUACCGGAUAGGAGCUCCUGCUGCAUGGUGGGGGUUGGAAAGUUUCGGCGGUUGGGGAUGGACUCGCGGCUUAUCAGCUUGUUGGUGGGGUAGUGGCUUACCAAGGCUUUGACGGGUAGCCGGCCUGAGAGGGUGACCGGCCACAUUGGGACUGAGAUACGGCCCAGACUCCUACGGGUGGCAGCAGUGGGGAAUAUUGCACAAUGGGCGGAAGCCUGAUGCAGCAACGCCGCGUGCGGGAUGACGGCCUUCGGGUUGUAAACCGCUUUCGCCUGUGACGAAGCGUGAGUGACGGUAAUGGGUAAAGAAGCACCGGCUAACUACGUGCCAGCAGCCGCGGUGAUACGUAGGGUGCGAGCGUUGUCCGGAUUUAUUGGGCGUAAGGGCUCGUAGGUGGUUGAUCGCGUCGGAAGUGUAAUCUUGGGGCUUAACCCUGAGCGUGCUUUCGAUACGGGUUGACUUGAGGAAGGUAGGGGAGAAUGGAAUUCCUGGUGGAGCGGUGGAAUGCGCAGAUAUCAGGAGGAACACCAGUGGCGAAGGCGGUUCUCUGGGCCUUUCCUGACGCUGAGGAGCGAAAGCGUGGGGAGCGAACAGGCUUAGAUACCCUGGUAGUCCACGCUGUAAACGGUGGGUACUAGGUGUGGGGUCCAUUCCACGGGUUCCGUGCCGUAGCUAACGCUUUAAGUACCCCGCCUGGGGAGUACGGCCGCAAGGCUAAAACUCAAAGGAAUUGACGGGGCCCCGCACAAGCGGCGGAGCAUGCGGAUUAAUUCGAUGCAACGCGUAGAACCUUACCUGGGUUUGACAUGGAUCGGGAGUGCUCAGAGAUGGGUGUGCCUCUUUUGGGGUCGGUUCACAGGUGGUGCAUGGCUGUCGUCAGCUCGUGUCGUGAGAUGUUGGGUUAAGUCCCGCAACGAGCGCAACCCUUGUUCACUGUUGCCAGCACGUUAUGGUGGGGACUCAGUGGAGACCGCCGGGGUCAACUCGGAGGAAGGUGGGGAUGACGUCAAGUCAUCAUGCCCCUUAUGUCCAGGGCUUCACGCAUGCUACAAUGGCUGGUACAGAGAGUGGCGAGCCUGUGAGGGUGAGCGAAUCUCGGAAAGCCGGUCUCAGUUCGGAUUGGGGUCUGCAACUCGACCUCAUGAAGUCGGAGUCGCUAGUAAUCGCAGAUCAGCAACGCUGCGGUGAAUACGUUCCCGGGGCU